CCUACGGGUGGCAGCAGUGAGGAAUAUUGGUCAAUGGGCGGAAGCCUGAACCAGCCAAGUCGCGUGAGGGAAUAAGGCCCUACGGGUUGUAAACCUCUUUUGCCGGGGAGCAAGGGCGGGGACGUGUCCCGGCGCGGAGAGUACCCGGAGAAAAAGCAUCGGCUAACUCCGUGCCAGCAGCCGCGGUAAUACGGAGGAUGCGAGCGUUAUCCGGAUUUAUUGGGUUUAAGGGGUGCGUAGGCGGGCUUUUAAGUCAGCGGUAAAAAUUCGGGGCUCAACCCCGUCCGGCCGUUGAAACUGGGGGCCUUGAGGGGGCGAGAAGAAGGCGGAAUGCGUGGUGUAGCGGUGAAAUGCAUAGAUAUCACGCAGAACCCCGAUUGCGAAGGCAGCCUUCCGGCGCCCUACUGACGCUGAGGCACGAAAGUGCGGGGAUCGAACAGGAUUAGAUACCCGAGUAGUC
This 460-nucleotide ribosomal RNA is filed under the name uncultured bacterium. RNAcentral's name for it is "partial 16S ribosomal RNA". It matches the Rfam family "Bacterial small subunit ribosomal RNA", at positions 338 to 795 of the family's 1533-position model. The record is from RNAcentral.